This 250-nucleotide unclassified non-coding RNA is filed under the name uncultured Mortierella. RNAcentral's name for it is "partial internal transcribed spacer 2". Lineage: Eukaryota; Fungi; Mortierellomycota; Mortierellomycetes; Mortierellales; Mortierellaceae. The record is from RNAcentral.
AACACCUCAAUUUCACAAUCUUUUUUUUGAAAUUGGACUUGAGCAAAUCCCAACGUCUAUUUUAUUAUAUGGAGGGUUGCUUCAAAUGCAGGUGCAGCCGAUCAUUCUUCUGGGCUAAAAGCAUUAUCUAGUUAAUCCCGUAAAACGGAUUAUUCACUUUAUUUGCUGCGGCUUACCUUUAAAAGGAAGAAAUGGUCAUUGUGCUGACUGAUGCAGGAUUUCUCAGAGCUCCGUAAAACGACCUUUGAAA